Molecule: non-coding RNA, 1812 nt
Organism: Xyrichtys novacula (pearly razorfish)
Lineage: Eukaryota; Metazoa; Chordata; Actinopteri; Labriformes; Labridae
Source: the annotation of a GenBank genome assembly
UUUUGAAUGAAUCGUUCGUGAAUGACACAACACUAGUUCCCAACAUAAAUAACCUCCAUGAAAAUAACCGUUACAAACUGAAACCAACAGGCUCCACCCUGAAAAAACAACCCGUACUCAGACUGUGGAUCAGAGACCAGACCGAGUUCCUUCAUCCUGCGUCGGCGUGAGGGUGGGCCCGUCAGCCUGUGAUUGGAGGAUCCUGGUGGUUUUCUCAGAGACCUGUACACCCAGAUCAGUCCUGAAACACUGGAGUCCAUUAUGGCGGCUAUAAAGAGCUAAUGACCCGACAGAGGGAUGGAUGAGCCGGGCUCGCUCUCCUUGAAAGGCCGAAGGAUGAGGAGUCAUUAGAGCGGCGUUAUCUGGCGCAGAUAGCAUUGGCAGGUCUGCACAGAUCAUUAUUUUUGGCCCUGGAGCCGUUUGGCAGAGCGGAGCGGGGCUAACUGCUCAGCCAGCGCUAACUCCAGGGUCAGCUAGCACAGGGAUGAAGACGCUAACGAUACGCCGCCUGGCAGCUACUGCUUCCUGUAAAGGUUCCUAAUGAGCGCAGAGAGCUGAGCGGCGCUGUUUGUCUUUGUGCUCCGUCAGUCUGGACUUAGGCGGGCUCUCCUCUCUCUGUUUGUUUGAGCCUGUUAGCAUGCAGACAGUUAUGAGGAUAAAUCUGAGGGACUUGAACAAACAGCAGACCGACCCGAGGGACGACAGGAGGUCAUAGGUUAUUAUUUCUAUCAUAGAUUCUUGUGUUUUUAGUAACAGCAACCAGGAACCUUUGACCUCCACAGGAACCUGUCAGCCAAUCACAGUCUACUAAAUCUUUUUCCACUGUCUGAAACAUCACACCGUCAACCUUUAAAUUCAGAGACUUUUUACCUUUUUAUGACGUUAAUAUUUAUAACAAAAUCAAACAUUUACAUUAAACUGUCAUUACCUCUUAUCUGCUCAGUUUAUGUCUACGUAGGUCCUGUGAGUGUCUAUUCUAUUCUCUUCUGUUCUUGUACAGUCAUUCAUUCUAUUCUAGUCUGUUCUAUUAUCUUUUAUUCUAUUCUAUUUUCUUGUUUUAUUAUAUAUUUUCUAUUUUGUCCAAUUCUAUUUUAUAUUCUUCUAUUCUAUUGUUUUUCUUCUACUCUGUUCUUGUGUUGCAAUUCAUUCUAUUCUGUUCUAUUCUAUCAUCUUUUAUUCUAUUUUCUUGUUUUAUUCUAUUCUUUUCAAUUCUGUUCCCUUCUAUUUAUUUUCUUCCAUUCCGUUCCAUUUUCUUGUUUUUUUCUACAUUUUCUAUUCUGUUCUUUUCUAUACUCUUAUUUUCUGUGCUGUUAUUCACAGUUCUACUCUAAUCUGUUUUAUUCUAUUUGUUCCUGUUCUGUUCUUUUUACUUCUGUUCUAUUUUUCUUCUAUUCUAUUCUAUUCUAUACUAUACUGUUCUAAUCUACACUGUUCUGUUCUAUUCUAUACUGGUUUGUUCUGAUACAUUAAAAGGGGAGCAAUAUUUUCAGCUUUGACUUGAUUGUGUUUCACUCCGAUUCAGUCGCCAUGGUUACCUGCACACAAACCAGUAGAGGAUGUAGUAUGACCGCCGGACUGUUGAGAUGAUGAGGACAGACGUCUCACCGCUGACCUGAGUUUGACCGCAGAGUUUGAUGAAGAAGUUUGAGGAGUUCCAGACGUUGUGAGAGACCUGCAGCAGAGUCAGGUCCAGGUCUGAGGGUCGGACCUGAUGCUGUUUGAGACCUGCAGCAGAGUCUGGUCCAGGUCUGAGGGUCGGACCAGGCUUCACCCUGACUCACCUGGAUCACAGGUGUGUCGCUCUUAUCUGUG